RNAcentral lists this ribosomal RNA (472 nucleotides) under uncultured bacterium. Its description in RNAcentral is "partial 16S ribosomal RNA". It matches the Rfam family "Bacterial small subunit ribosomal RNA", at positions 28 to 507 of the family's 1533-position model. The record is from RNAcentral.
GACGAACGCUGGCGGCGUGCUUAACACAUGCAAGUCGAACGCUGAAGCUUGGUGCUUGCACUGGGUGGAUGAGUGGCGAACGGGUGAGUAAUACGUGAGUAACCUGCCCUUGACUCUGGGAUAAGCCUGGGAAACUGGGUCUAAUACUGGAUACGACAUGUCACCGCAUGGUGCUGUGUGGAAAGGGUUUUACUGGUUUUGGAUGGGCUCACGGCCUAUCAGCUUGUUGGUGGGGUAAUGGCUCACCAAGGCGACGAAGGGUAGCCGGCCUGAGAGGGUGACCGGCCACACUGGGACUGAGACACGGCCCAGACUCCUACGGGAGGCAGCAGUGGGGAAUAUUGCACAAUGGGCGGAAGCCUGAUACAGCGACGCCGCGUGAGGGAUGACGGCCUUCGGGUUGUAAACCUCUUUCAGCACGGAAGAAGCGAAAGUGACGGUACGUGCAGAAGAAGCGCCGGCUAACUACGUG